UCGGACGUGGUGCACGGUGCACGCCUGCUCAUAGUUAUCGGUCUUACUUUUCAGAAAUUACCUACGGCGGGACAUCUGAGUUCGACUCUCAGCGUCCGAG
Non-coding RNA from Mycena galopus ATCC 62051, 100 nucleotides. Lineage: Eukaryota; Fungi; Basidiomycota; Agaricomycetes; Agaricales; Mycenaceae. The record is from the annotation of a GenBank genome assembly.